Molecule: ribosomal RNA, 226 nt
Filed under: uncultured bacterium
Lineage: Bacteria
Description: partial 16S ribosomal RNA
Rfam family: Bacterial small subunit ribosomal RNA
Source: RNAcentral
GCGUUAUCCGGAUUCAUUGGGUUUAAAGGGUGCGUAGGCGGCUUUUUAAGUCAGUGGUGAAAUCUUGCCGCUUAACGGUAAAAUUGCCAUUGAUACUGAUAAGCUUGAGUACAAUUGAGGUAAGCGGAAUGUGUAGUGUAGCGGUGAAAUGCUUAGAUAUUACACAGAACACCGAUUGCGAAGGCAGCUUACUAAACUGUCACUGACGCUGAUGCACGAAAGCGUG